RNAcentral lists this signal recognition particle RNA (97 nucleotides) under Woeseia sp. Its description in RNAcentral is "signal recognition particle sRNA small type". It matches the Rfam family "Bacterial small signal recognition particle RNA". From Rfam's summary of the family: The signal recognition particle (SRP) is a universally conserved ribonucleoprotein involved in the co-translational targeting of proteins to membranes. Archaeal SRP consists of a 7S RNA and homologues of the eukaryotic SRP19 and SRP54 proteins. Lineage: Bacteria; Pseudomonadati; Pseudomonadota; Gammaproteobacteria; Woeseiales; Woeseiaceae. The record is from RNAcentral.
CGUCGGCGUUCUCGCGACGGUUAAUUGUGAAUUCCGCCAGGUCCGGAAGGAAGCAACGGUAGCAAUGAGACUGGGUGCCGAGAAGGUGCUGGCGCGG